UAAUUCAUCUACUAAAACCCUCAUUCAUCUAAUAUUAGAUAUCAUCCAAUUUAACCUCAAUUUCAUCCAACAAAAAAUCACUUCCAAUUUUCAUCCAAAAUAGUUAACUCCACCUAGGUUCAUCCAAGAGUGGGAAAUUUAACAAUGGUACCUUAAAAUCUUUGAUUAACCACAAGGCAACUUCUAUGAUUCAGAUGUACGCUUGACUCAGCAACGGCAGGGACUGCCGAGUACAGUUCUGUAAUCGAUGAAAGUAGAGAAAAACACCGGACCACAAUCGAAUUGUCAACCCCAACUAUGAAUACGCACCGUGCUAUCCAUGAGCUGGGCGAUAAUCACUACCCUCAGCAACACCGAAAAAAAGAAACCGCACAUCCUUCCAAUCUGUCGAAGUUGCAGCAUUGGCUAGGUUCACGUAAGCUUCAACCCUCGUACACCUUCACAAUAGCACUGUCCUUCUACGUCGUGAAUAUAAGAGACGACGAUGGCAACCGAAUCCAUGUCAACCACGUCGAAGUAGGAGCCAACCCAAUCGACAGCGUUUGACGCCACUAGACCACAUGAACGUCGAAGGGAAGGAACAUGAGGACCGUUGUAAUAGUUCCAACACGCCCAGAUCAAGAAGGGAAAAACAGACCAAGCUAGUAAGUCCACGGCUCCAAGACCGGAACAGUCAGUAAGGAAGUGCUUCCAAAAGGAAUUAGGAAGAUGAACGCGCACGAAGGGGAUUGACUAGAAAAAGAAUAAAAGAAUCAGAGAAUCAAAACCGUUCAGAGCGACGACGCGUUGAAGGCUAGUCGGAACACCAACGCAAAACACUGCAAACCACCCAGAAUCACAAACCGAAUGGAACACAAUCGAGAUCCGCAAUAGCCGAUUACGAGGGAAAAAAGGAAAAAAUAACGUUGUCAAUGCGGACCUAACCCCCAAUCCUUCUACAGUCGGCUUCGUCGCUUAAAAUUAGUACAGAAUUGCAUUGCUCAACGCAACACCCUUAAUUGGUGCAAAUGUUGCCACCCCACUUGACGACUUUCCAGUCGACAAUACCACAAGAAAGGAGCCCCGCCACACCGUUUUCCUGCACGUCAAUCCGAUCCUCGACAGGAGAGCAGCAGCAAGAAGGUAGGAAAAAUCCGGUGCACUGAUCCGCCGCCAAUCACAACUAAGGAAUCACACUAGCCGGAGCAAACACAAACGGAAGCGAGAAGGCCGCAAUAGUAGCCGCACGAA
Molecule: long non-coding RNA, 1230 nt
Filed under: Physcomitrium patens
Lineage: Eukaryota; Viridiplantae; Streptophyta; Bryopsida; Funariales; Funariaceae
Description: long non-coding RNA (PPAT_LNC002627)
Source: RNAcentral